This 253-nucleotide ribosomal RNA is filed under the name uncultured bacterium. RNAcentral's name for it is "partial 16S ribosomal RNA". It matches the Rfam family "Bacterial small subunit ribosomal RNA", at positions 524 to 776 of the family's 1533-position model. The record is from RNAcentral.
UACGGAGGGGGCUAGCGUUGUUCGGAAUUACUGAGCGUAAAGCGCGCGUAGGCGGACCUGCAAGUCGGGGGUGAAAGCCCGAGGCUCAACCUCGGAACUGCCUUCGAUACUGCGGGUCUCGAGUCCGGGAGAGGUGAGUGGAAUUCCUAGUGUAGAGGUGAAAUUCGUAGAUAUUAGGAAGAACACCAGUGGCGAAGGCGGCUCACUGGCCCGGUACUGACGCUGAGGUGCGAAAGCGUGGGGAGCAAACAGG